AGCGAACGCUGGCGGCAGGCUUAACACAUGCAAGUCGAGCGGGCACUUCGGUGUCAGCGGCUGACGGGUGGGUAACACGUGGGAACGUACCCUUUUGUUCGGAAUAACGCUGGGAAACUAGCGCUAAUACCGGAUACUCCCUUUUGGGGAAAGGCUUGCUGGCUAAGGAUCGGCCCGCGUCUGAUUAGCUAGUUGGCGGGGUAAUGGCCUACCAAGGCUAAGAUCAGUAGCUGGUCUGGGAGGAUGAUCAGCCACACUGGGACUGUGACACGGCCCAGACUCCUACGGAAGGAAGGAGUGGGGAAUAUUCGACAAUGGGCGCAAGACUGAGGCAGCCAUGUCGCGUGAGUGAUGAAGGACUUAGGAUUGUAAAGCUCUUUUGACCGGGACGAUAAUGACGGUACCGGAAGAAUAAGCCCCGGCUAACUUCGUG
Molecule: ribosomal RNA, 433 nt
Filed under: uncultured bacterium
Lineage: Bacteria
Description: partial 16S ribosomal RNA
Rfam family: Bacterial small subunit ribosomal RNA
Source: RNAcentral